This 284-nucleotide ribosomal RNA is filed under the name uncultured prokaryote. RNAcentral's name for it is "partial 16S ribosomal RNA". It matches the Rfam family "Bacterial small subunit ribosomal RNA", at positions 524 to 817 of the family's 1533-position model. The record is from RNAcentral.
GACGUAGGGGGCGGAGCGUUGUCCGGAAUUACUGGGCGUAAAGAGCACGUAGGCGGAACCUAAGUCAGGUGUGAAAGACCGUGGCUCAACCACGGGGUGGCAUUUGAAACUGGGUUUCUUGAGGGCAGGAGAGGAAAGCAGAAUUCCUGGUGUAGCGGUGAAAUGCGUAGAAAUCAGGAGGAAUACCAGUGGCGAAGGCGACUUCCUGGUCUGUAACUGACGCUGAGGCGCGAAAGCGUGGGGAUCAAACAGGAUUAGAUACCCCCGUAGUCCCUGAGCGGGCU